GUGGGGAAUAUUGGACAAUGGGGGAAACCCUGAUCCAGCAAUGCCGCGUGAGUGAAGAAGGCCUUAGGGUUGUAAAGCUCUUUCGCCCGCGAAGAUAAUGACGGUAGCGGGAGAAGAAGCCCCGGCUAACUCCGUGCCAGCAGCCGCGGUAAUACGGAGGGGGCUAGCGUUGUUCGGAAUUACUGGGCGUAAAGCGUACGUAGGCGGAUGCGCAAGUUGGGGGUGAAAUCCCGGGGCUUAACCUCGGAAUUGCCCUCAAAACUGCAAGUCUUGAGACCGAGAGAGGUAAUGGGAAUUCCUAGUGUAGAGGUGAAAUUCGUAGAUAUUAGGAAGAACACCAGUGGCGAAGGCGCCUUACUGGCUCGGUACCGACGCUGAGGUACGAAAGCGUGGGGAGCAAACA
This 403-nucleotide ribosomal RNA is filed under the name uncultured bacterium. RNAcentral describes it as "bacterial SSU rRNA". It matches the Rfam family "Bacterial small subunit ribosomal RNA", at positions 354 to 774 of the family's 1533-position model. The record is from RNAcentral.